GAUGAAGAACGUAGCGAAAUGCGAUAAGUAAUGUGAAUUGCAGAAUUCAGUGAAUCAUCGAAUCUUUGAACGCACAUUGCGCCCCUUGGUAUUCCGAGGGGCAUGCCUGUUCGAGCGUCAUUUCAACCCUCAAGCACAGCUUGGUCUUGGGCUUCGCCGCUAACCCGGCGGGUCUUAAAAUCAGUGGCGGUGCCGUCGGGCCCUGAGCGCAGUAAUCUCUCUCGCUAUAUGGUCCCGGCGGAUGCUGGCCAGUAACCCCCAAUUUUCUAUGGUUGACCUCGGAUCAGGUAGGGAUACCCGCUGAACUUAAGCAUAUCAAUAAGCGGAGGA
This 330-nucleotide unclassified non-coding RNA is filed under the name soil metagenome. RNAcentral describes it as "partial contains 5.8S ribosomal RNA, internal transcribed spacer 2, and large subunit ribosomal RNA". The stretch from base 1 to 120 matches the Rfam family "5.8S ribosomal RNA", at positions 35 to 154 of the family's 154-position model. The record is from RNAcentral.